RNAcentral lists this ribosomal RNA (445 nucleotides) under uncultured bacterium. RNAcentral's name for it is "partial 16S ribosomal RNA". It matches the Rfam family "Bacterial small subunit ribosomal RNA", at positions 354 to 796 of the family's 1533-position model. The record is from RNAcentral.
GUGAGGAAUAUUGGACAAUGGGCGCAAGCCUGAUCCAGCCAUGCCGCGUGCAGGAAGACGCAUCUAUGGUGUGUAAACUGCUUUUGUACGGGAAGAAACACUCCCUCGUGAGGGAGCUUGACGGUACCGUAAGAAUAAGGAUCGGCUAACUCCGUGCCAGCAGCCGCGGUAAUACGGAGGAUCCAAGCGUUAUCCGGAAUCAUUGGGUUUAAAGGGUCCGUAGGCGGUUUAAUAAGUCAGUGGUGAAGGCUCAUCGCUCAACGAUGUAACGGCCAUUGAUACUGUUAGACUUGAAUUACAAGGAAGUAACUAGAAUAUGUAGUGUAGCGGUGAAAUGCUUAGAUAUUACAUGGAAUACCAAUUGCGAAGGCAGGUUACUACUUGUGGAUUGACGCUGAUGGACGAAAGCGUGGGGAGCGAACAGGAUUAGAAACCCUUGUAGUCC